RNAcentral lists this ribosomal RNA (388 nucleotides) under uncultured Methanomicrobiales archaeon. Its description in RNAcentral is "bacterial SSU rRNA". It matches the Rfam family "Archaeal small subunit ribosomal RNA", at positions 952 to 1338 of the family's 1478-position model. The record is from RNAcentral. Lineage: Archaea; Methanobacteriati; Methanobacteriota; Methanomicrobia; Methanomicrobiales.
GGCCAGGCUGAAGACUUUGCCGGAUUAGCUGAGAGGUGGUGCAUGGCCGUCGUCAGUUCGUACUGUGAAGCAUCCUGUUAAGUCAGGCAACGAGCGAGACCCACGCCAACAGUUGCCAGCUCGUCCUCCGGGAUGGUGGGGACACUGUUGGGACCGCCUCUAGCUAAAGAGGAGGAAGGAAUGGGCAACGGUAGGUCAGCAUGCCCCGAAUUAUCUGGGCUACACGCGGGCUACAAUGGGUGGGACAAUGGGUAUCGACACCGAAAGGUGAAGGCAAUCUCCUAAACCCAUCCGUAGUUCGGAUUGUGGGCUGCAACUCGCCCACAUGAAGCUGGAAUCUGUAGUAAUCGUGUCUCAAAAUGGCACGGUGAAUAUGUCCCUGCUCCUU